This 1018-nucleotide long non-coding RNA is filed under the name Coffea arabica (coffee). RNAcentral describes it as "long non-coding RNA (CARA_LNC003155)". Lineage: Eukaryota; Viridiplantae; Streptophyta; Magnoliopsida; Gentianales; Rubiaceae. The record is from RNAcentral.
AAGAAAAAGUAAAUUUACUAUUGAAUCAGGGAGAAAAGUAGAAAGUUCUUACAAAAACAAAACCUAGCAACAGUUCGGUCAUCUUCUUCGUAAGCUCACAAAAAAACUUAGACAGAUGAACUCAGAAGCACCACCCCUCUACAUUCUUCAUCAACUCCUAUUAAUCAUCCAUCACUCAAGAAUAAUUACACAAUCUCUUUCUGUUUCUAAACCUAAUGGAGUCUCACAAACUCUCCAGCUCCACCACCAUUCUUGGGCUUCUAUAGUUGUAAAGGUUCACCACCACCUCCUCCACCACAGCCGCUCGCCUCAACCACCUCCAUCUCCAGUGAAGCCGUUGGAGAUGCUGCAAAUUCUAUAACUAUCCCUUGUUACCUGCAAGUUCUACUACAUUUUCAUUAAAGUAACUUGAUUAAAAUAAAAAUGUAUUAGAUAAAGGAAAAAUAAUCGGGGAAAAGAAAAACUACUUAAAUAAGGGAGAGAGAGAGAGAGAGAGAGAGAGAUUCUAAUAAGAAAUGAAAGUGACAAACAACAAUGAUCUAGAAUUGGGAUUCGAAUAAUUUUGGGUUCUUCCAACGACUUAAUCCCUGUUGUUGUCGUUGCAUUUGGCUUUGUACAAGUAGUUAUUGUACUCUUUGGAGUUUGGAAACAUCACAUUGUGGGGUUUGGCACUGAUGGUAUGAGUGUCCCAAUAUUAGUGCUUCGAGAGAACCAUGAAUGAUGUCCUAGGAGUUACAAAAAAGGAUGCCAUUAUAUGCAAAUUCAAUGGAGCUGAUAUCACCACAAUUGUAGUAGGAGAUGUGACAGUGGGCUAGUAGAAGUCGAGGAAGAAGUAUAGGAGGCUUGAAUAGUCAAAUAAAGGGCUUGCAUUGAAGGUUUUGGAGCAGGGAUGGGGAAGAGCUGAGGCGGUGGGUGGUCGACUAGGAGUGGAUGCUGCUUUAGACUGGUACUCAAUAUUAAAUCUUUCUCCAUAAUUAAAUGAAGCUUGUUUUUCUCCUUUAACUGACUAAAACAUUAU